GACGAACGCUGGCGGCGUGCUUAACACAUGCAAGUCGAACGGACAGGCGCUGAUUUUGUGGCGUGCUCGUGUGGCGCACGGGUGAGUAACACGUGUGUAUACUCUCCUUGACUUUCGGGUAACUUCAGGAAACUGGGGCUAAUACCGGAUAGGAGCUCCUGCUCCAUGUUGUGGAUUGGAAAGUUUCGGCGGUGGUGGCUGGUCUCGCGGCUUCUCAGCUUGUUGGUGGGGUAGUGGCUUACCAAGCUUUCGACGGGUAGCCGGCCUGAGAGGGUGACCGGCCACAAGGGGACUGCGAGACGGACCAGAAGCCUACGGGAGGCAACAGUGGGGAAUAUGGCACAACGGGCGGAAGCCUGAUGCAGCAACGCUGCGUGCGGGAUGACGGCUUACGGGUUGUAAACCGCUUUCGCCUGUGACGAAGCGUGAGUGACGGUAAUGGGUAAAGAAGCACCGGCUAACUACGUG
RNAcentral lists this ribosomal RNA (468 nucleotides) under uncultured bacterium. RNAcentral describes it as "partial 16S ribosomal RNA". It matches the Rfam family "Bacterial small subunit ribosomal RNA", at positions 28 to 507 of the family's 1533-position model. The record is from RNAcentral.